CGCUACACAUGCAGUCGAACGAAGUAGCAAUACUUAGUGGCAGACGGGUGAGUAACAUGUGGGUAUCUACCCUUUGGCCUGGAAUAACACGAGGAAACUUGUGCUAAUACCGGAUAAGUCUUUACGGAGAAAGCUUUAUGCACCAUUGGAGGAGCCUGCACUAGAUUAGUUUGUUGGUGGGGUAAUGGCCUACCAAGACUAUGAUCUAUAGCUGAUUUGAGAGGAUGAUCAGCCACAUUGGGACUGAGACACGGCCCAAACUCCUACGGGAGGCAGCAGUGGGGAAUCUUGCACAAUGGAGGAAACUCUGAUGCAGCGAUGCCGCGUGAGUGAAGAAGGCCCUUGGGUUGUAAAGCUCUUUCGUCGGGGAAGAAAAUGACUGUACCCGAAUAAGAAGGUCCGGCUAACUUCGUGCCAGCAGCCGCGGUAAUACGAAGGGACCUAGCGUAGUUCGGAAUUACUGGGCUUAAAGAGUUCGUAGGUGGUUGAAAAAGUUAGUGGUGAAAUCCCAGAGCUUAACUCUGGAACUGCCAUUAAAACUUUUCAGCUAGAGUAUGAUAGAGGAAAGCAGAAUUUCUAGUGUAGAGGUGAAAUUCGUAGAUAUUAGAAAGAAUACCAAUUGCGAAGGCAGCUUUCUGGAUCAUUACUGACACUGAGGAACGAAAGCAUGGGUAGCGAAGAGGAUUAGAUACCCUCGUAGUCCAUGCCGUAAACGAUGUGUGUUAGACGUUGGAAAUUUAUUUUCAGUGUCGCAGCGAAAGCGAUAAACACACCGCCUGGGGAGUACGACCGCAAGGUUAAAACUCAAAUGAAUUGACGGGGACCCGCACAAGUAGUGGAGCAUGUGGUUUAAUUCGAAGAUACGCGCAGAACCUUACCAACACUUGACAUGUUCGUCGCGACUCUAGAGAUUAGAGUUUUCGGUUCGGCCGGACGAAACACAGUGCUGCAUGGCUGUCGUCAGCUCGNGUCGUGAGAUGUUGGGUU
This 987-nucleotide ribosomal RNA is filed under the name uncultured bacterium. Its description in RNAcentral is "bacterial SSU rRNA". It matches the Rfam family "Bacterial small subunit ribosomal RNA", at positions 47 to 1081 of the family's 1533-position model. The record is from RNAcentral.